GAUGAACGCUGGCGGCGUGCCUAAUACAUGCAAGUCGAGCGAACGGACGAGAAGCUUGCUUCUCUGAUGUUAGCGGCGGACGGGUGAGUAACACGUGGAUAACCUACCUAUAAGACUGGGAUAACUUCGGGAAACCGGAGCUAAUACCGGAUAAUAUUUUGAACCGCAUGGUUCAAAAGUGAAAGACGGUCUUGCUGUCACUUAUAGAUGGAUCCGCGCUGCAUUAGCUAGUUGGUAAGGUAACGGCUUACCAAGGCAACGAUGCAUAGCCGACCUGAGAGGGUGGUCGGCCACACUGGAACUGAGACACGGUCCAGACUCCUACGGGAGGCAGCAGUAGGGAAUCCUCCGCAAUGGGCGAAAGCCUGACGGAGCAACGCCGCGUGAGUGAUGAAGGUCUUCGGAUCGUAAAACUCUGUUAUUAGGGAAGAACAUAUGUGUAAGUAACUGUGCACAUCUUGACGGUACCUAAUCAGAAAGCCACGGCUAACUACGUG
RNAcentral lists this ribosomal RNA (497 nucleotides) under uncultured bacterium. Its description in RNAcentral is "partial 16S ribosomal RNA". It matches the Rfam family "Bacterial small subunit ribosomal RNA", at positions 28 to 507 of the family's 1533-position model. The record is from RNAcentral.